GGAGUCAACGUUGAAUACCACCUUGAUUAUUUGGAGUCUAACUCCUAACGGAGGACAUUGUUGAUGGGUAGUUUGACUGGGGUGGUCGCCUCCAAAAUGUAUCGGAGGCUUUCAAAGGUACCCUCAGUACGCUUGGUAACCGUACGUAGAGUGCAAUAGCAUAAGGGUGCUUGACUGUGAGACUUACAAGUCGAGCAGGGCCGAAAGGCGGAUAUAGUGAUCCGGUGGUUCCGUAUGGAAGGGCCAUCGCUCAAAGGAUAAAAGGUACGCUGGGGAUAACAGGCUGAUCCCUCCAAGAGCUCACAUCGACGGGGGGGUUUGCACCUCGAUGUCGGCUCGUCACAUCCUGGGGCUGGAGAAGGUCCCAAGGGUUCGGCUGUUCGCCCGAUUAAAGUGGCACGCGAGCUGGGGUUCAGAACGUCGUGAGACAGUUCGGUCCCCUAUCUGUUGUGGG
RNAcentral lists this ribosomal RNA (454 nucleotides) under uncultured bacterium. RNAcentral describes it as "bacterial LSU rRNA". It matches the Rfam family "Bacterial large subunit ribosomal RNA", at positions 2182 to 2651 of the family's 2925-position model. The record is from RNAcentral.